UUAAUUUCAAUAAUUUAUGUUAAUUACUUAAGAGUUAUAUCACUUGUUUCACUUUGUUGAACCUUGUGAACGCUCUAAUGCCAAAAGUUAUUAUCCGAUCUUUGUGAAAUUUACAUGCAGUAUUUAAAUUAGUGAAACAAAGAAGCCUAUUGAAUUUCAGCAAUUUCCAUUUAUUAUGUCUAGAGUUAUGGCCCUUGUGUCACUUUGUUGAACCUUGUGAACUCUUUAACGCUGAAAGUUAUCAUCCGAUCUUUGUGAAAUUUAUAUGCUUUAUUUAAAUUAGUGAAACGAAGAAUCCUGUUGAAUUUCGUCUAGAGUUAUGACCCUUGUUUCACUUUAUUGGCACUUGUGAACGUUCUAAUGCCAAAAGUUAUUAUCUUGUCUUUGUGAAAUUUAUUAGCAUUUUUUAAAUUAGUAAAACAAAAAAGCCUAUUGAAUUUCAGCAAUUUUGCAGACCCCGGUCAUAUCCUAAAACCCCGGUAACUUUUCAAAACCCCGGUAAAACCUGAAACCCCAGUAAAAUACCUAACCCCGGUAUUAGAAACCCCGGUAAACCCUGCCAAAACUAAAACCCCGGUAAAAAUCCGAAACCCCGGUGAAAUCUCACCGGGGUUUCCAUACAGUAUAUAUAGAACCUCACUCACUAUGUGAGAUAAAUCAGUCUGAAGAGUUCAAUUAGAAUGAAACUAGUCACUGCUAUAAGGGAUAACUGGUGAAAUCGCCCAUCUCUACAUCAUUUAGAUUGCUGAAACCACGAAAUCUAUUGAAUUUCAGAAAUUUACAAUAAUUACUUCUAGAGUUAUGUCCCUUGUUUCACUUUGUUCAACCUUGUUAAUGCUCGAUUGAUGAAAGUUAAUAUCCGAUAAGUAUGAAAUUUAUAUGCAUCAUUUAAAUUUGUGAUACAGAGGUCUAUUGAAUUUGUGAUUUUUCCGUAGACAAUUUCUGCCAUUAAUAUUGGGUGAGCUAUCGUGUCUUGCAACAGAUUUUUAUUCAUUUUGAUACAAUAAUAGGGCCCAGGUCUUGUGUCAUCUAACUAGUCUAGGCUAAAGUAUUAGUACCGUAAUCCAUUUAGUCUUGCACUAAUAAUAAUAGUAAUAUUACUUAUUAGUAAUAAACUCAUAAGGAAUAGCCAAAAAUUGCAUUUUAAUCUCAUAUUCAUAAUGGCAGAUUAGGGCUUGCUUAUGUUAUUAUUGGCAUGUUAAAUUACCCGAAUGAAACCAAUCAGACUGAAAGAUGCUCGCGCGAAGUAAACUUUGUCCGGGCUAUUUAAUGGAUUACCACAAUGAUAGUACGCCUAAUGUUACUAGGUAUUCACCAUGGAGCACUUCGUUAGUAUUAGUCAUUUUAUUGAAUUUUGUUACACGGAAAGAAAAGUAUGACCGCAUAGUUGACUACCUGAGAAGAAGAAGUGGUAGCGAGAACUCUUAAAUGGUUUAUUUGGUGGGUGAAAGAGAAGGGCUUUGAGUUAUAAAGCAGUUUCCGUCGAUAGGUCUACAUGACAUACUCUGUGAACCUACAAGUACCAAAGAAAAGAAUGAGAGGAUAGUGUGCUCAUGUGUUGGCAAUAAUAAUAGUGAUUGAAAUGGAAGAUAGCAGGAUAGAAAAAUGUCCCUUCUCAACCAUCAUCGACAAGUUUACCACAGCAGUGAGAUAAGCCAAGGGUGGCGAAAAUUUAACCAGACCCUGUUUCACAGAUUAUAAUUUCAAGACCUGGGAAUAAAAAAUCAAGUAUCAAACCUUGGAGGACUGUCCAAUCUCAUACUUGGUGAGCAGCACAGCAGACUUCUUAACAACAUCCAUUGGCCCUCAGUUUAUUUGCAUAUCAUGCACCCCUUAUGCAAGUGACAACUCAACUGACAACAGAGAACUCUGAUAAAUGUGGUGAAAUAGUUUUUCCAAAACCAGUUGAUGUACAUUUAGAUUUAAAUCAGAUAGAAAAGAUGAAAGUUGAGUGGAAAU
Long non-coding RNA from Patella vulgata (common limpet), 1959 nucleotides. RefSeq lists it as uncharacterized. NCBI's taxonomy places the organism in Eukaryota, Metazoa, Mollusca, Gastropoda, Patellidae. The record is from RefSeq and is a predicted model, not a curated record. The transcript has 4 exons.